CUUGUCUCAAGACUAAGCCAUGCAUGUCUAAGUAUAAACGCUUCUAUACUGUGAAACUGCGAAUGGCUCAUUAAAUCAGUUAUAGUUUAUUUGAUGGUUUCUUACUACUUGGAUAACCGUGGUAAUUCUAGAGCUAAUACAUGCACAAAGUCCCGACUCUUCGGAAGGGAUGUAUUUAUUAGAUCCAAAACCAAUGCGAGUCUCUCGGGGCUCGGUUUCUUGGUGAUUCAUGAUAACUGCUCGAACCGUAUGGCCCUUGCGCCGACGGUGCUUCAUUCAAAUUUCUGCCCUAUCAACUUUCGAUGGUACGGUAGUGGCCUACCAUGGUUGCAACGGGUGACGGAGAAUUAGGGUUCGAUUCCGGAGAGGGAGCCUGAGAAACGGCUACCACAUCCAAGGAAGGCAGCAGGCGCGCAAAUUACCCAAUCCCGACUCGGGGAGGUAGUGACAAUAAAUAACAAUGCCGGGCUAUUGUAGUCUGGCAAUUGGAAUGAGUACAAUCUAAAUCCCUUAACGAGGAACAAUUGGAGGGCAAGUCUGGUGCCAGCAGCCGCGGUAAUUCCAGCUCCAAUAGCGUAUAUUAAAGUUGUUGCAGUUAAAAAGCUCGUAGUUGGAUUUCGGGGUGGCCUGCCUGGUCCACCGCAAGGUGAGUACUGGUCAGCCGCCCUUCCUCUCGAAAGCCCCGACUGCUCUUCACUGCAGUGGUCGGGUAGUUCGGGACGUUUACUUUGAAAAAAUUAGAGUGUUCAAGGCAGGCUAUCGCCUGAAUACAUUAGCAUGGAAUAAUGGAAGAGGACCUCGGUCCUAUUUUGUUGGUUUCUAGGGCCGAAGUAAUGAUUAAGAGGGACAGUUGGGGGCAUUCGUAUUUAAUUGUCAGAGGUGAAAUUCUUGGAUUUAUGAAAGACGAACUAGUGCGAAAGCAUUUGCCAAGGAUGUUUUCAUUAAUCAAGAACGAAAGUUAGGG
Molecule: ribosomal RNA, 964 nt
Filed under: Halichondria sp. FSK061812
Lineage: Eukaryota; Metazoa; Porifera; Demospongiae; Suberitida; Halichondriidae
Description: SSU rRNA
Rfam family: Eukaryotic small subunit ribosomal RNA
Source: RNAcentral